GCAAGUCGAGGGGUAACGAUGUAGCUUGCUACAGGCGACGACCGGCGCACGGGUGAGUAACGCGUAUGCAACCUACCUCAAACUGAGGGAUAGCCCAUGGAAACGUGGAUUAAUACCUCAUAGUAUGUAUUUAUCGCAUGAUAGAUACAUUAAAGCUCCGGCGGUUUGAGAUGGGCAUGCGUGCCAUUAGAUAGUUGGUGAGGUAACGGCUCACCAAGUCAACGAUGGCUACGGGGUCUUAAAGGAUGGUC
RNAcentral lists this ribosomal RNA (251 nucleotides) under uncultured bacterium. RNAcentral describes it as "partial 16S ribosomal RNA". It matches the Rfam family "Bacterial small subunit ribosomal RNA", at positions 57 to 305 of the family's 1533-position model. The record is from RNAcentral.